RNAcentral lists this unclassified non-coding RNA (61 nucleotides) under Pseudomonas moraviensis. Its description in RNAcentral is "Pseudomonas sRNA P10". Lineage: Bacteria; Pseudomonadati; Pseudomonadota; Gammaproteobacteria; Pseudomonadales; Pseudomonadaceae. The record is from RNAcentral.
CUUAUCCGAUCCUGCGUCGCGGCCGCUUCCUGGUCGGCGAAUACAACGAAGACAUCGGCGU